GGGCAUCCCCUCUGCCCCAUGUUCCUCUCUGCUCCCAGCACCUGCCUUCCUGGCUGGUGGCCACACCUUGCCACUGCCCAGGAUCCAUGCUGGUUGCCACCUACACACUGGAAAUGCUGUGGCUGGUAACUGCUGAGCACCGGGCUGCAGAAUCUCAGUCCAGGAGUUGGUGACUUGGCAAGUCACUCUGCCUUGGUCAAUCAGGCUUGGGUCAAGAGGCCAUCACACAGUUCAUAGGGAUGCUGUUCACAAGCACUUCUGUUGGAAAAUUCUCUGACCAGCUCACCUGGAGCAGAAAGCAGAACCUCCAGAAUCCCUGCAUUGGCUGCCACUCACGGUGUGGAGGAAAUGAUGAUAUCUUGAAUGUGUGGGACCACAUCUGAAGAGGAACACUGACCAACCGCAGAGUAUCCUUGAAGGAGCAAUCAAGAUAAAGACGGAUGAAAAUCCCAAGAAUGGAAAACAAACAUCACCAUUUAUUCCCAAAUGGUAGACGGAGCUUCAGAUGAAUCUAUGUCACAUCAUUAUACGGAAGGCCAAUUUUCUUCAAAGUCAGUAAAAAGCAACCUCCUGAAAGACAGAUAAUGUGAAGGGCCACUUUGGCUGCCUCAAAACUGGCAUAUCGGUCUUGCCUGUAACCCAUUGCAAUUGUUCCUACAUUGGGGUAAAGUUAAAUAUUCAUUCAGUUAUUUUUUUUUCAUUUAACUGAAGAAUUGGAAAUCACCCUGCUGUCAGUUAGACUGUAAUAAACAGUGUUUCUAACCAAAC
This 768-nucleotide long non-coding RNA is filed under the name Equus caballus (horse). RNAcentral describes it as "lncRNA (ENSECAG00000032840.3)". The record is from RNAcentral. Lineage: Eukaryota; Metazoa; Chordata; Mammalia; Perissodactyla; Equidae.